This 72-nucleotide transfer RNA is filed under the name Campanula pallida. RNAcentral's name for it is "tRNA-Thr". It matches the Rfam family "tRNA". Rfam says of the family: Transfer RNA (tRNA) molecules are approximately 80 nucleotides in length. Their secondary structure includes four short double-helical elements and three loops (D, anti-codon, and T loops). Further hydrogen bonds mediate the characteristic L-shaped molecular structure. tRNAs have two regions of fundamental functional importance: the anti-codon, which is responsible for specific mRNA codon recognition, and the 3' end, to which the tRNAs corresponding amino acid is attached (by aminoacyl-tRNA synthetases). tRNAs cope with the degeneracy of the genetic code in two manners: having more than one tRNA (with a specific anti-codon) for a particular amino acid; and 'wobble' base-pairing, i.e. permitting non-standard base-pairing at the 3rd anti-codon position. Lineage: Eukaryota; Viridiplantae; Streptophyta; Magnoliopsida; Asterales; Campanulaceae. The record is from RNAcentral.
GCCCCUUUAACUCAACGGUAGAGUAAGCCCAUGGUAAGGCGUAAGUCGUUGGUUCCAAUCCGAUAGGGGACU